This 468-nucleotide ribosomal RNA is filed under the name uncultured bacterium. RNAcentral's name for it is "partial 16S ribosomal RNA". It matches the Rfam family "Bacterial small subunit ribosomal RNA", at positions 28 to 507 of the family's 1533-position model. The record is from RNAcentral.
GACGAACGCUGGCGGCGUGCUUAACACAUGCAAGUCGAACGGUGAAGCUCCAGCUUGCUGGAGUGGAUCAGUGGCGAACGGGUGAGUAACACGUGAGCAACCUGCCCCUGACUCUGGAAUAAGCGCUGGAAACGGCGUCUAAUACUGGAUACGAGAAGGGUCCGCAUGGGCACUUUCUGGAAAGUUUUUCGGUUGGGGAUGGGCUCGCGGCCUAUCAGCUUGUUGGUGAGGUAAUGGCUCACCAAGGCGACGACGGGUAGCCGGCCUGAGAGGGCGACCGGCCACAUUGGGACUGAGAUACGGCCCAGACUCCUACGGGAGGCAGCAGUGGGGAAUAUUGCACAAUGGGCGGAAGCCUGAUGCAGCAACGCCGCGUGCGGGAUGACGGCCUUCGGGUUGUAAACCGCUUUCGCCUGUGACGAAGCGUGAGUGACGGUAAUGGGUAAAGAAGCACCGGCUAACUACGUG